UAAUUUUGCACGGUUUCUGGU
Molecule: non-coding RNA, 21 nt
Organism: Caenorhabditis elegans
Lineage: Eukaryota; Metazoa; Nematoda; Chromadorea; Rhabditida; Rhabditidae
Source: Ensembl